GCUGGCGGCAGGCCUAACACAUGCAAGUCGAGCGCGCCUUCGGGUGAGCGGCGGACGGGUUAGUAACGCGUGGGAACGUGCCCUUCUCUACGGAAUAGCCUCUGGAAACGGAGAGUAAUACCGUAUACGCCCUUUGGGGGAAAGAUUUAUCGGAGAAGGAUCGGCCCGCGUUAGAUUAGGUAGUUGGUGGGGUAACGGCCUACCAAGCCUACGAUCUAUAGCUGGUUUUAGAGGAUGAUCAGCAACACUGGGACUGAGACACGGCCCAGACUCCUACGGGAGGCAGCAGUGGGGAAUCUUAGACAAUGGGGGCAACCCUGAUCUAGCCAUGCCGCGUGAGUGAUGAAGGCCUUAGGGUCGUAAAGCUCUUUCGCCUGUGAUGAUAAUGACAGUAGCAGGUAAGGAAACCCCGGCUAACUCCGUGCCAGCAGCCGCGGUAAUACGGAGGGGGUUAGCGUUGUUCGGAAUUACUGGGCGUAAAGCGCGCGUAGGCGGAUUAGAAAGUUGGGGGUGAAAUCCCGGGGCUCAACCCCGGAACUGCCUCCAAAACUGCUAGUCUAGAGUUCGAGAGAGGUGAGUGGAAUUCCGAGUGUAGAGGUGAAAUUCGUAGAUAUUCGGAGGAACACCAGUGGCGAAGGCGGCUCACUGGCUCGAUACUGACGCUGAGGUGCGAAAGUGUGGGGAGCAAACAGGAUUAGAUACCCUGGUAGUCCACACCGUAAACGAUGAAUGCCAGUCGUCGGAUAGUAUACUAUUCGGUGACACACCUAACGGAUUAAGC
Molecule: ribosomal RNA, 781 nt
Filed under: uncultured Ruegeria sp.
Lineage: Bacteria; Pseudomonadati; Pseudomonadota; Alphaproteobacteria; Rhodobacterales; Roseobacteraceae
Description: bacterial SSU rRNA
Rfam family: Bacterial small subunit ribosomal RNA
Source: RNAcentral